CCACAUGCAAGUCGAGCGGUAACACAGGGAGCUUGCUCCUGGGUGACGAGCGGCGGACGGGUGAGUAAUGUCUGGGAAACUGCCUGAUGGAGGGGGAUAACUACUGGAAACGGUAGCUAAUACCGCAUAACGUCGCAAGACCAAAGAGGGGGACCUUCGGGCCUCUUGCCAUCAGAUGUGCCCAGAUGGGAUUAGCUAGUAGGUGGGGUAACGGCUCACCUAGGCGACGAUCCCUAGCUGGUCUGAGAGGAUGACCAGCCACACUGGAACUGAGACACGGUCCAGACUCCUACGGGAGGCAGCAGUGGGGAAUAUUGCACAAUGGGCGCAAGCCUGAUGCAGCCAUGCCGCGUGUAUGAAGAAGGCCUUCGGGUUGUAAAGUACUUUCAGCGGGGAGGAAGGUGUUGAGGUUAAUAACCUCAGCAAUUGACGUUACCCGCAGAAGAAGCACCGGCUAACUCCGUGCCAGCAGCCGCGGUAAUACGGAGGGUGCAAGCGUUAAUCGGAAUUACUGGGCGUAAAGCGCACGCAGGCGGUCUGUCAAGUCGGAUGUGAAAUCCCCGGGCUCAACCUGGGAACUGCAUUCGAAACUGGCAGGCUAGAGUCUUGUAGAGGGGGGUAGAAUUCCAGGUGUAGCGGUGAAAUGCGUAGAGAUCUGGAGGAAUACCGGUGGCGAAGGCGGCCCCCUGGACAAAGACUGACGCUCAGGUGCGAAAGCGUGGGGAGCAAACAGGAUUAGAUACUU
RNAcentral lists this ribosomal RNA (745 nucleotides) under Pantoea agglomerans. RNAcentral's name for it is "bacterial SSU rRNA". It matches the Rfam family "Bacterial small subunit ribosomal RNA", at positions 51 to 787 of the family's 1533-position model. Lineage: Bacteria; Pseudomonadati; Pseudomonadota; Gammaproteobacteria; Enterobacterales; Erwiniaceae. The record is from RNAcentral.